CACAUAACAAUAAGACCAGUUAUUUUGGUCGACUGGACAUAAAACAGUUAUAAGGAAUUGGUUUGGCCGCCGACAGCCUUAUGAUUGGUCCAAUAUUUGGCGUUACUGCAUAGCUGGACUUUACACGCGCUUAGCGUUGGAAAGUUAAAGUAACCUAACCCGGGCACCAUGGACCGGGUUUUUUAU
This 186-nucleotide small RNA is filed under the name Enterovibrio nigricans DSM 22720. RNAcentral's name for it is "MicX Vibrio cholerae sRNA". Lineage: Bacteria; Pseudomonadati; Pseudomonadota; Gammaproteobacteria; Vibrionales; Vibrionaceae. The record is from RNAcentral.